Molecule: ribosomal RNA, 252 nt
Filed under: uncultured bacterium
Lineage: Bacteria
Description: partial 16S ribosomal RNA
Rfam family: Bacterial small subunit ribosomal RNA
Source: RNAcentral
UACGAAGGGGCUAGCGUUGUUCGGAUUUACUGGGCGUAAAGCGCACGUAGGCGGAUCGUUAAGUCGGGGUGAAAUCCUGGAGCUCAACUCCAGAACUGCCUUCGAUACUGGCGAUCUUGAGUCCGGAAGAGGUGAGUGGAACUCCUAGUGUAGAGGUGGAAUUCGUAGAUAUUAGGAAGAACACCAGGUGGCGAAGGCGGCUCACUGGUCCGGUACUGACGCUGAGGUGCGAAAGCGUGGGGAGCAAACAGG